This is a microRNA precursor of Gorilla gorilla gorilla (western lowland gorilla), 84 nucleotides long. The record is from Ensembl. Lineage: Eukaryota; Metazoa; Chordata; Mammalia; Primates; Hominidae.
CAGGAUCACAGACGUUUAAAUUACACUCCUUCUGCUGCGCCUUACAGCAGUAGAAGGGGUGAAAUUUAAACGUCUGUGAUCCUG